AGAGUUUGAUCCUGGCUCAGAACGAACGCUGGCGGCGUGCCUAACACAUGCAAGUCGAACGGAAUUUGAGAGCUUGCUCUUAAAUUUAGUGGCGCACGGGUGAGUAACGCGUAGAUAAUCUGCCUGGCGAUCUGGGAUAACACUUCGAAAGAGGUGCUAAUACCGGAUAAGCCCACGGAGUCUUUGGACUUUGCGGGAAA
This 200-nucleotide ribosomal RNA is filed under the name uncultured bacterium. RNAcentral's name for it is "partial 16S ribosomal RNA". It matches the Rfam family "Bacterial small subunit ribosomal RNA", at positions 8 to 204 of the family's 1533-position model. The record is from RNAcentral.